Molecule: small nuclear RNA, 104 nt
Organism: Leptonychotes weddellii (Weddell seal)
Lineage: Eukaryota; Metazoa; Chordata; Mammalia; Carnivora; Phocidae
Source: RefSeq, a predicted model, not a curated record
GUGCUCGUUUCAGCAGCACAUUUAUUAAAAUUGGAACAACACAGAGUUUAGCAUGGCCCCUGUGCAAAGCGGACAGGCAAAUUCAUGAAAUGUCCCAUAUUUUU